UUUGCGUCGAAGGUAUACCGGUAAGGAGUGCUGGAGCGAAUAGAAGUGAGCAUGCAGGCAUGAGUAGCGAUAAUUAAUGUGAGAAUCAUUAACGCCGUAAACCCAAGGUUUCCUACGCGAUGCUCGUCAUCGUAGGGUUAGUCGGGUCCUAAGUUGAGUCCGAAAGGGGUAGACGAUGGCAAAUUGGUUAAUAUUCCAAUACCAACAUUAGUGUGCGAUGGAAGGACGCUUAGGGCUAAGGGGGCUAGCGGAUGGAAGUGCUAGUCUAAGGUCGUAGGAGGUUAUAUAGGCAAAUCCGUAUAACAAUACUCCGAGAACUGAAAGGCUUUUUGAAGUCUUCGGAUGGAUAGAAGAACCCCUGAUGCCGUCGAGCCAAGAAAAGUUUCUAAGUUUAGCUAAUGUUGCCCGUACCGUAAACCGACACAGGUGGGUGGGAUGAGUAUUCUAAGGCGCGUGGAAGAACUCUCUUUAAGGAACUCUGCAAAAUAGCACCGUAUCUUCGGUAUAAGGUGUGGUUAGCUUUGUAUUAGGAUUUACUCCGAAAGCAAGGAAACUUACAACAAAGAGUCCCUCCCGACUGUUUACCAAAAACACAGCACUCUGCUAACUCGUAAGAGGAUGUAUAGGGUGUGACGCCUGCCCGGUGCUCGAAGGUUAAUUGAUGGGGUUAGCAUUAGCGAAGCUCUUGAUCGAAGCCCGAGUAAACGGCGGCCGUAACUAUAACGGUCCUAAGGUAGCGAAAUUCCUUGUCGGUUAAAUACCGACCUGCAUGAAUGGCGUAACGAGAUGGGAGCUGUCUCAAAGAGGGAUCCAGUGAAAUUGUAGUGGAGGUGAAAAUUCCUCCUACCCGCGGCAAGACGGAAAGACCCCGUGGACCUUUACUACAGCUUGACACUGCUACUUGGAUAAGAAUGUGCAGGAUAGGUGGGAGGCUUUGAGUAUAUGACGCCAGUUGUAUAUGAGCCAUUGUUGAGAUACCACUCUUUCUUAUUUGGGUAGCUAACCAGCUUGAGUUAUCCUCAAGUGGGACAAUGUCUGGUGGGUAGUUUGACUGGGGCGGUCGCCUCCCAAAUAAUAACGGAGGCUUACAAAGGUUGGCUCAGAACGGUUGGAAAUCGUUCGUAGAGUAUAAAGGUAUAAGCCAGCUUAACUGCAAGACAUACAAGUCAAGCAGAGACGAAAGUCGGUCUUAGUGAUCCGGUGGUUCUGUGUGGAAGGGCCAUCGCUCAAAGGAUAAAAGGUACCCCGGGGAUAACAGGCUGAUCUCCCCCAAGAGCUCACAUCGACGGGGAGGUUUGGCACCUCGAUGUCGGCUCAUCGCAUCCUGGGGCUGGAGCAGGUCCCAAGGGUAUGGCUGUUCGCCAUUUAAAGCGGUACGCGAGCUGGGUUCAGAACGUCGUGAGACAGUUCGGUCCCUAUCUGCCGUGGGCGUAAGAAGAUUGAAGAGAUUUGACCCUAGUACGAGAGGACCGGGUUGAACAAACCACUGGUGUAGCUGUUGUUCUGCCAAGAGCAUCGCAGCGUAGCUAAGUUUGGAAAGGAUAAACGCUGAAAGCAUCUAAGCGUGAAGCCAACUCUAAGAUGAAUCUUCUCUAAGCUCUCUAGAAGACUACUAGUUUGAUAGGCUGGGUGUGUAAUGGAUGAAAGUCCUUUAGCUGACCAGUACUAAUAGAGCGUUUGGCUUAUCUUUAAUAAAGCAU
Molecule: ribosomal RNA, 1700 nt
Filed under: Campylobacter jejuni
Lineage: Bacteria; Pseudomonadati; Campylobacterota; Epsilonproteobacteria; Campylobacterales; Campylobacteraceae
Description: partial 23S ribosomal RNA
Rfam family: Bacterial large subunit ribosomal RNA
Source: RNAcentral